Molecule: non-coding RNA, 109 nt
Organism: Canis lupus familiaris (dog)
Lineage: Eukaryota; Metazoa; Chordata; Mammalia; Carnivora; Canidae
Source: RefSeq, marked provisional
UGAACCAGCCGACAGUCCAGCUCCUUUAGUGUCUGCUGCCCUUGCUGCUGGGACCUGGGCGACGGGGGCAAGCGGGCAGUGGGGAGGAGACAGGGGACAGUCAAGCCCG